GUUUCAACCUUUCCUUUUCCUUCAGGUGCGCACCCUGUGGCAUGACCCUCGUCACAUAGGCUGGAAAGAUUUCACCGCCUACAGAUGGCGUCUCAGCCACAGGCCAAAGACGGGUUUCAUUAGGUACGAUCAUACUGAUUCAAUUUCACUUACAGUCACACUGAUGGACAAAAAGACAAAAAGUAUUAAACAGCAUUGUCACUAAACAAGAUUUUUUUUCCCUGCAGAGUGGUGAUGUAUGAAGGGAAGAAAAUCAUGGCUGACUCAGGACCCAUCUAUGAUAAAACCUAUGCUGGUGGUAGACUAGGGUUGUUUGUCUUCUCUCAAGAAAUGGUGUUCUUCUCCGACCUGAAAUACGAAUGUAGAGAUCCCUAAUCAUCAAAUUGUUGAUUGAAAGACUGAUCAUAAACCAAUGCUGGUAUUGCACCUUCUGGAACUAUGGGCUUGAGAAAACCCCCAGGAUCACUUCUCCUUGCCUUCCUUCUUUUCUCUGCUUGCAUCAGUGUGGACUCCUAGAACAUGCGACCUGCCUCAAGAAAAUGCAGUUUUCAAAAACA
This 557-nucleotide small RNA is filed under the name Pongo abelii (Sumatran orangutan). RNAcentral describes it as "retained intron". The record is from RNAcentral. Lineage: Eukaryota; Metazoa; Chordata; Mammalia; Primates; Hominidae.